GACGAACGCUGGCGGCGUGCCUAAUACAUGCAAGUAGAACGCUGAAGGAGGAGCUUGCUUCUCCGGAUGAGUUGCGAACGGGUGAGUAACGCGUAGGUAACCUGCCUGGUAGCGGGGGAUAACUAUUGGAAACGAUAGCUAAUACCGCAUAACAGUAGAUGUUGCAUGACAUUUGCUUAAAAGUUGCAAUUGCAUCACUACCAUAUGGACCUGCGUUGUAUUAGCUAGUUGGUGAGGUAACGGCUCACCAAGGCGACGAUACAUAGCCGACCUGAGAGGGUGAUCGGCCAAACUGGGACUGAGACACGGCCCAGACUCCUACGGGAGGCAGCAGUAGGGAAUCUUCGGAAAUGGACGGAAGUCUGACCGAGCAAAGCCGCGUGAGUGAAGAAGGUUUUCGGAUCGUAAAGCUCUGUUGUAAGAGAAGAACGAGUGUGAGAGUGGAAAGUUCACACUGUGACGGUAUCUUACCAGAAAGGGACGGCUAACUACGUG
Molecule: ribosomal RNA, 495 nt
Filed under: uncultured bacterium
Lineage: Bacteria
Description: partial 16S ribosomal RNA
Rfam family: Bacterial small subunit ribosomal RNA
Source: RNAcentral